Molecule: long non-coding RNA, 347 nt
Organism: Pseudophryne corroboree (corroboree frog)
Lineage: Eukaryota; Metazoa; Chordata; Amphibia; Anura; Myobatrachidae
Exons: 3
Source: RefSeq, a predicted model, not a curated record
AAACAAUUCCAUGGUCACUCCUGAGGAAGCUGUGAAGGUAGAAUAAAGUCUGAUGUUUAGGUGUCUGCCUUCCAUAUUCACUAUGAAUAGUGAACUGUGUGAUUACCUGGACUGUGACCUUUACACUCAGCGGGGGCCUUCUCUGUGCUCCCGGACCACCUCCAAUUCUACAGCAGGAGGAGAGCUGUAACAUCAUUCAUUUCAUACACAGGGAUCAUGGCCAGAUCUACAGAACCCUCCUGACUCCAGGCACAUGAGAAAAAACAAGGACACAGGUCCCUCAUCCAGGUGACACGUAACAGAUGGCUUUGUCUACAGAGAGAUUAAAGGCUUUUCCAUGUACUAAA